This 697-nucleotide ribosomal RNA is filed under the name uncultured bacterium. Its description in RNAcentral is "bacterial SSU rRNA". It matches the Rfam family "Bacterial small subunit ribosomal RNA", at positions 57 to 749 of the family's 1533-position model. The record is from RNAcentral.
GCAAGUCGAGCGGUAGAGAGGUGCUUGCACCUCUUGAGAGCGGCGGACGGGUGAGUAAAGCCUAGGAAUCUGCCUGGUAGUGGGGGAUAACGCUCGGAAACGGACGCUAAUACCGUAUACGUCCUACGGGAGAAAGCAGGGGACCUUCGGGCCUUGCGCUAUCAGAUGAGCCUAGGUCGGAUUAGCUAGUUGGUGAGGUAAUGGCUCACCAAGGCGACGAUCCGUAACUGGUCUGAGAGGAUGAUCAGUCACACUGGAACUGAGACACGGUCCAGACUCCUACGGGAGGCAGCAGUGGGGAAUAUUGGACAAUGGGCGAAAGCCUGAUCCAGCCAUGCCGCGUGUGUGAAGAAGGUCUUCGGAUUGUAAAGCACUUUAAGUUGGGAGGAAGGGCAUUAACCUAAUACGUUAGUGUUUUGACGUUACCGACAGAAUAAGCACCGGCUAACUCUGUGCCAGCAGCCGCGGUAAUACAGAGGGUGCAAGCGUUAAUCGGAAUUACUGGGCGUAAAGCGCGCGUAGGUGGUUCGUUAAGUUGGAUGUGAAAUCCCCGGGCUCAACCUGGGAACUGCAUUCAAAACUGUCGAGCUAGAGUAUGGUAGAGGGUGGUGGAAUUUCCUGUGUAGCGGUGAAAUGCGUAGAUAUAGGAAGGAACACCAGUGGCGAAGGCGACCACCUGGACUGAUACUGACACUGA